AACAAUCUACACUGCACCUGGCAUGAUGGCUGCUGAUGCAAGCAGCCUGUCCCUGAGGGGUAAGAGGGUAUUAGCUGAAGAAUUAGCGGGACUCAUUGACAGGUCUUUAAACUAGGAAUGAAGGGGAAAGGGGGCAAAACAAGGGCUACUGGGGUUGAACAGUUCAUUCGAGGGAUUGUACCGAACUCCGUGGGCAAUGACGGCAGAGUGCAAAAGGAGGGAGUAGGGCAGGGGGAUGCUGGGGAUGCUGCUGUUCUAGUGGAUCCUGGAUCCCUUAUAAAGGUGGCAAGACGGAUAGCCCGGCUGAAGUGCCUUUAUACUAAUGCACGUAGCCUGAGUAACAAGCAGGAAGAACUGGAAACUGUGAUGCACUCAAAAAGUUAUGACAUUGUUGCUAUCACAGAAACAUGGUGGGAUGACUCCCACAAUUGGGAUACUGCCAUCGACGGCUAUAGACUAUUUAGGAGAGACAGGCAAGGCAGGAAGGGUGGGGGAGUCGCUCUCUAUGUCAGAGAUUGGAUAAACUGUGAAGAGCUCCCCACGAGAAACAGUCAAGAACAGGUUGAGAGCCUGUGGGUUAGGAUUAGAGAUGGGACUAAUAAAGGACAGCUGGUAUUAGGGGUAUACUACAGGCCACCUGAUCAAGGGGAGGCUGCUGAUGAGGCUUUCUUGCUCCAGAUGCGUGAGGCAUCUGGCUCACGGGCUCUUGUCCUGAUGAGGGACUUCAACCAUCCGGACAUUUGUUGGAAAAACCACACGGCGAGCUGCAAGAGCUCCACAAGGCUCUUGGAAUCCAUUGAUGAUAGCUUUCUGGUUCAGGUAUUGGACAGACCGACCAGAGGCCAAGCGUUGCUGGACCUGCUGCUCAUCAACGCUGAGGAGAUCAUCAAAGGUGUCAAGGUUGGAGGCUGCCUGGGCUCCAGUGAUCAUGCCCUGGUUGAGUUUGUGGUCUCAAGCAAUGUGGGCCUGGCAAAAAGCAGGACCAGGACGCUGAACUUUAGAAGAGCAGACUUCAAGCUACUCAAUGGAAUGCUGGCCAAGAUCCCCUGGCACGCUGCUCUCAAAGACAAGGACGUUGAGGAGAGCUGGCUGCUCUUCAAGGAUGCCCUCCUGAAAGCACAAGAGGACUCCAUUCCCCUGAUUAAGAAAGUGGGCAGGAGAGGUAGAAAACCGGCAUGGUUCAGCAAGGACCUGCUAAGAGAACUGCGGGCAAAGAAAGGGGUGUACAAGCUCUGGAAACAAGACGG
This 1247-nucleotide long non-coding RNA is filed under the name Coturnix japonica (Japanese quail). RNAcentral's name for it is "lncRNA (ENSCJPG00005009378.1)". Lineage: Eukaryota; Metazoa; Chordata; Aves; Galliformes; Phasianidae. The record is from RNAcentral.